This 460-nucleotide ribosomal RNA is filed under the name uncultured bacterium. Its description in RNAcentral is "partial 16S ribosomal RNA". It matches the Rfam family "Bacterial small subunit ribosomal RNA", at positions 338 to 795 of the family's 1533-position model. The record is from RNAcentral.
CCUACGGGUGACAGCAGUGAGGAAUAUUGGUCAAUGGACGAGAGUCUGAACCAGCCAAGUAGCGUGAAGGAUGACUGCCCUAUGGGUUGUAAACUUCUUUUAUAUGGGAAUAAAAUGUUCCACGUGUGGGAUUUUGUAUGUACCAUAUUAAUAAGGAUCGGCUAACUCCGUGCCAGCAGCCGCGGUAAUACGGAGGGUGCAAGCGUUGUCCGGAAUCAUUGGGAGUAAAGAGUUCGUAGGCGGUCUGUAAAGUACGGUGUUAAAGGAGCAGGUCCAACCUGUGUAGGGCACUUGAUACGUGCAAGCUGGAAUGCGGUAGAGGUAAAGGGAAUUCCUGGUGUAGCGGUGAAAUGCUUAGAUAUCAGGAGGAACAUCGGUGGCGUAAGCGCUUUACUGGGCCGUAAUUGACGCUGAGGAACGAAAGCCAGGGUAGCAAAUGGGAUUAGAUACCCCAGUAGUC